CAGAAAGCUUACCUUUGGGCGGGUUGUGAAAAGGUGUCAGGAGGCAAGUGUAAGGUUAACUGGAACCUUGUCUGCAAGCCCAAGAUCUAUGGAGGACUGGGUGUGCUGGAUCUAGAGAAACUCGCCACCGCUCUACGAAUCCGUUGGCUGUGGUUUGAGUGGGCCGACCCGCAAAAAACAUGGACUGGAAUGGAAACACCUUGCUCUGACGGUGACAAGGAUCUUUUUGCUGCGGCCACUAGGGUGUCCAUUGGUGAUGGUUCGAAGGCCAAAUUCUGGGAAUCCUCUUGG
RNAcentral lists this ribosomal RNA (291 nucleotides) under Triticum aestivum (bread wheat). RNAcentral's name for it is "partial small subunit ribosomal RNA". Lineage: Eukaryota; Viridiplantae; Streptophyta; Magnoliopsida; Poales; Poaceae. The record is from RNAcentral.